Molecule: ribosomal RNA, 340 nt
Filed under: uncultured bacterium
Lineage: Bacteria
Description: bacterial SSU rRNA
Rfam family: Bacterial small subunit ribosomal RNA
Source: RNAcentral
AGCUGCAUUAUUUGACGUUAGCGACAGAAGAAGCACCGGCUAACUCCGUGCCAGCAGCCGCGGUAAUACGGAGGGUGCGAGCGUUAAUCGGAAUUACUGGGCGUAAAGCGCAUGCAGGUGGUUUGUUAAGUCAGAUGUGAAAGACCCGGGGCGUCAACCUCGGAAUAGCAUUUGAAACUGGCAGACUAGAGUACUGUAGAGGGGGGUAGGAAUUUCAGGUGUAGCGGUGAAAUGCGUAGAGAUCUGAAGGAAUACCGGUGGCGAAGGCGGCCCCCUCGGACAGAUACUGACACUCAGAUGCGAAAGCGUGGGGAGCAAACAGGAUUAGAUACCCUGGUAG